Molecule: small nuclear RNA, 101 nt
Organism: Callithrix jacchus (white-tufted-ear marmoset)
Lineage: Eukaryota; Metazoa; Chordata; Mammalia; Primates; Cebidae
Source: Ensembl
GUGCUUCAGCAGCACAUAUGCUAAAAUUAGAAGGCUACAGAGAAGAUUAGCAUGAACCCUGUGCAAGAAUGACACAAAUUCGUGAAGCUUUUUAUAUUAAA